GAUGAACGCUGGCGGCGUGCCUAAUACAUGCAAGUCGAGCGAACAGAUGAGGAGCUUGCUCCUCUGACGUUAGCGGCGGACGGGUGAGUAACACGUGGAUAACCUACCUAUAAGACUGGGAUAACUUCGGGAAACCGGAGCUAAUACCGGAUAAUAUAUUGAACCGCAUGGUUCAAUAGUGAAAGACGGUUUUGCUGUCACUUAUAGAUGGAUCCGCGCCGCAUUAGCUAGUGGGUAAGGUAACGGCUUACCAAGGCAACGAUGCGUAGCCGACCUGAGAGGGUGGUCGGCCACACUGGAACUGAGGCACGGUCCAGACUCCUACGGGAGGCAGCAGUAGGGAAUCUUCCGCAAUGGGCGAAAGCCUGACGGAGCAACGCCGCGUGAGUGAUGAAGGUCUUCGGAUCGUAAAACUCUGUUAUUAGGGAAGAACAAAUGUGUAAGUAACUAUGCACGUCUUGACGGUACCUAAUCAGAAAGCCACGGCUAACUACGUG
This 497-nucleotide ribosomal RNA is filed under the name uncultured bacterium. RNAcentral's name for it is "partial 16S ribosomal RNA". It matches the Rfam family "Bacterial small subunit ribosomal RNA", at positions 28 to 507 of the family's 1533-position model. The record is from RNAcentral.